CCUACGCGUGGCAGCAGUGGGGAAUAUUGCGCAAUGGGCGAAAGCCUGACGCAGCGACGCCGCGUGAGGGAUGAAGGUCUUCGGAUUGUUAACCUCUGUUAGCAGGGAAGAACGGUCACUGUGCUAAUCAGCAGUGAAUUGACGGUACCUGCAAAGGAAGCACCGGCUAACUCCGUGCCCGCCGCCGCGGUAAUACGGAGGGUGCGAGCGUUAAUCGGAAUUACUGGGCGUAAAGCGCUCGUAGGCGGUAUGUUAAGUCAAGGGGGAAAUCCCCGCGCUCAACGUGGGAACUGCCUUUGAAACUGGCGAACUGGAGAGUGUAAGAGGAAAGUGGAAUUCCAGGUGUAGGAGUGAAAGCCGUAGAUAUCU
RNAcentral lists this ribosomal RNA (369 nucleotides) under uncultured bacterium. Its description in RNAcentral is "partial 16S ribosomal RNA". It matches the Rfam family "Bacterial small subunit ribosomal RNA", at positions 338 to 699 of the family's 1533-position model. The record is from RNAcentral.